Molecule: transfer RNA, 83 nt
Filed under: [Candidatus Thermochlorobacteriaceae] bacterium GBChlB
Lineage: Bacteria; Pseudomonadati; Chlorobiota; Chlorobiia; Chlorobiales; Chloroherpetonaceae
Also listed under: 1 other name
Description: Candidatus Thermochlorobacteriaceae bacterium GBChlB tRNA-Tyr
Rfam family: tRNA
About the family: Transfer RNA (tRNA) molecules are approximately 80 nucleotides in length. Their secondary structure includes four short double-helical elements and three loops (D, anti-codon, and T loops).
Source: RNAcentral
GGGUAGGUAGCGAAGUGGUUAAACGCAACAGACUGUAAAUCUGUCGACUUCGGUCUUCGCAGGUUCGAAUCCUGCCCUGCCCA